This 407-nucleotide ribosomal RNA is filed under the name uncultured bacterium. RNAcentral describes it as "partial 16S ribosomal RNA". It matches the Rfam family "Bacterial small subunit ribosomal RNA", at positions 29 to 526 of the family's 1533-position model. The record is from RNAcentral.
AUUGAACGCUGGCGGCAGGCCUAACACAUGCAAGUCGAGCGGAGCGGCGGACGGGUGAGAAAUGCCUAGGAAUCUGCCUGGUAGUGGGGGAUAACGUACGGAAACGGGCGCUAAUACCGCAUACUAUCAGAAGAGCCUAGGGCGGAUUAGGUAGUUGGUGGGGGAAAGGCCUACAAAGGCGACGAUCCGUAACUGGUGCGAGAGGAUGAUCAGGCACACGGGAACUGAGACACGGUCCAGACUCCGACGGGAGGCAGCAGGGGGGAAUAUUGGACAAUGGGCGAAAGCCUGAUCCAGCCAUGCCGCGUGUGUGAAGAAGGUCUUCGGAUUGUAAAGCACUUUAAGUUGGGAGGCGUUACCAACAGAAUAAGCACCGGCUAACUUCGUGCCAGCAGCCGCGGUAAUAC